GAGGUCCAGCCUGCCCAGUGACCACAAGUUUAACGGCCGCGGUAUUUUGACCGUGCAAAGGUAGCGCAAUCACUUGUCUUUUAAAUAAAGACCUGUAUGAAUGGUUAAACGAGGGCUUAACUGUCUCCCAUUUCCAGUCAGUGAAAUUGAUCUACCCGUGCAGAAGCGGGUAUAAUUAUACAAGACGAGAAGACCCUUUGGAGCUUAAGGUACAAAACUCAACCACGUCAAUCAACUCAAUAAAAAGCAACUUUUACUAAACCUUGUGACAAAUGAGACCAUACCUUCGGUUGGGGCGACCAAGGAGGAAAAAAAAGCCUCCAAGUGGACUGGGCUAACACCCUAAAACUAAGAGAGACAUCUCUAAGCCACAGAACAUCUGACCAUAAAUGAUCCGGUCAACUAAGACCGAUCAACGAACCAAGUUACCCUAGGGAUAACAGCGCAAUCCCCUCCCAGAGUCCAUAUCGACGAGGGGGUUUACGACCUCGAUGUUGGAUCAGGACAUCCUAAUGGUGCAGCCGCUAUUAAGGG
This 534-nucleotide ribosomal RNA is filed under the name Dawkinsia srilankensis (blotched filamented barb). Its description in RNAcentral is "partial 16S ribosomal RNA". It matches the Rfam family "Bacterial large subunit ribosomal RNA", at positions 1849 to 2571 of the family's 2925-position model. Lineage: Eukaryota; Metazoa; Chordata; Actinopteri; Cypriniformes; Cyprinidae. The record is from RNAcentral.